GAUGAACGCUAGCUACAGGCUUAACACAUGCAAGUCGAGGGGUAACAAGAGAAAAGCUUGCUUUUCUUGUUGACGACCGGCGCACGGGUGGGUAACGCGUAUCCAACCUGCCUAUAACUAGGGAAUAACCUUGCGAAAGUAAGACUAAUACCCUAUGAUUUCCUUUGAUGACAUCAGAUUAGGAAUAAAGAUUUAUCGGUUAUAGAUGGGGAUGCGUCUGAUUAGGCUUGUUGGCGGGUAACGGCCCACCAAGGCAACGAUCAGUAGGGGUUCUGAGAGGAAGGUCCCCCACAUUAGAACUGAGACACGGUCCAAACUCCUACGGGAGGCAGCAGUGAGGAAUAUUGGUCAAUGGGCGGAAGCCUGAACCAGCCAAGUAGCGUGCAGGAUGACGGCCCUAUGGGUUGUAAACUGCUUUUAUACAGGAAUAAAGUUAGCCACGUGUGGUUAUUUGUAGGUACUGUAUGAAUAAGGACCGGCUAAUUCCGUGCCAGCCGCCGCGGUAA
Molecule: ribosomal RNA, 506 nt
Filed under: uncultured bacterium
Lineage: Bacteria
Description: partial 16S ribosomal RNA
Rfam family: Bacterial small subunit ribosomal RNA
Source: RNAcentral